RNAcentral lists this long non-coding RNA (723 nucleotides) under Heterocephalus glaber (naked mole-rat). Its description in RNAcentral is "lncRNA (ENSHGLG00000036137.1)". The record is from RNAcentral. Lineage: Eukaryota; Metazoa; Chordata; Mammalia; Rodentia; Bathyergidae.
GGGGUGACAGCCAGGCCCAGGUGCUGGGCAGGUACAGAGGGCAGGGCUGUUGCUGAACUCGAGCGAUCUGAAGUGCCAGACACAGGGCCAGGGGUCCAAAACACAAAACAAACGCAAAGGCACCCCCAGAGGAAAAGCCCAGAGUCUAAAUUUUAAACAGGAAGAAGCAGGCGCUGGCCCCGAGGAAGAUAACAGGCCCAGGAGGGAACACAGCAACAGCGGAGCAGCAGAGCAGGCCUGGGGAGGGCAGGGCGUCCAUGCUGAGCCGCCUGCCUGGCUCCAGGUGCCAGGCCUGGGCUCUGCCCACCACACAGAGGGCCCCAGCCGGCCAGACAUGGGGACACUCCCAGGUCCCUGUCCCCAGCCUCCAGCAGGGGGAGUGCUCAGAGGGCCCCAGGAUCACUUGGAUGGGGGACGAGAAGGCCAGUGCCCCACGGAAAGCGAGACCCACUGCCCUGAGCCCCUCCUCUCUGCCACCCUUGGCCUGGAUGUUGAAGAUGGAACUAAGGGCCUCUUGCCUGUUGGGGAGCACCUCCAGCCAUGCACCUUCGGACCAAAACCUUGACAAUGACCAGAGAUUGCUUUCACAGUGAGAAAAUACUUUCAAAAUUAUAAACUUAGUACCAAUCACGCCUUGAGAAGAAGCAAGAUAUAUCAUGUACAGGUGUAAAUCCCCUAUAAUGAAUGUUAUCAUUAUGUAUAUCUAAAAUGUAUCAAUAAAUG